CAGCCGCCGCGGUAAUACAGAGGGUGCGAGCGUUAAUCGGAUUUACUGGGCGUAAAGCGUGCGUAGGCGGCUUUUUAAGUCGGAUGUGAAAUCCCUGAGCUUAACUUAGGAAUUGCAUUUGAUACUGGGAAGCUAGAGUAUGGGAGAGGAUGGUAGAAUUCCAGGUGUAGCGGUGAAAUGCGUAGAGAUCUGGAGGAAUACCGAUGGCGAAGGCAGCCAUCUGGCCUAAUACUGACGCUGAGGUACGAAAGCAUGGGGAGCAAACAGGAUUAGAUACCCCAGUAGUCCCUGUCUCUUAUAC
This 301-nucleotide ribosomal RNA is filed under the name uncultured bacterium. RNAcentral's name for it is "partial 16S ribosomal RNA". It matches the Rfam family "Bacterial small subunit ribosomal RNA", at positions 509 to 807 of the family's 1533-position model. The record is from RNAcentral.